Long non-coding RNA from Chelonia mydas (Green sea turtle), 164 nucleotides. RefSeq lists it as uncharacterized. The transcript is spliced from 3 exons. The record is from RefSeq and is a predicted model, not a curated record. NCBI's taxonomy places the organism in Eukaryota, Metazoa, Chordata, Testudines, Cheloniidae.
AGGAAGACUUUGGAAGCAAGUUUUUUCUACUAUAGUAAUUAAAAUUAAAAUGUGUAUUUUAGAUAAGAGUGGUAUUUCGAAGAAUUUAUUUAAAAAACUAUAUGUCUGAAGAUCCAAACAUUUAAGGUUAAAGAUGAAUACUCACAUUAUGACAGGAUUCAGAG